CGAAGGUCCCAAGCGUUAUCCGGAUUUAUUGGGUUUAAAGGGUGCGUAGGCGGGCUAUUAAGUCAGUGGUGAAAGCCCCCGGCCUAACCGGGGAACUGCCAUUGAUACUGAUGGUCUUGAGUACAUUUGAGGUGGGCGGAAUGUGUCAUGUAGCGGUGAAAUGCUUAGAUAUGACACAGAACACCGAUUGCGAAGGCAGCUCACUAAACUGUAACUGACGCUGAGGCACGAAAGCGUGGGGAGCAAACAGGAUUAGAUACCCUGGUAGUCCACGCCCUAAACGAUGAUCACUCGAUGUGUGCGAUACACUGUACGCGUCUGAGCGAAAGCAUUAAGUGAUCCACCUGGGGAGUACGGCCGCAAGGCUG
RNAcentral lists this ribosomal RNA (368 nucleotides) under uncultured organism. RNAcentral's name for it is "bacterial SSU rRNA". It matches the Rfam family "Bacterial small subunit ribosomal RNA", at positions 526 to 896 of the family's 1533-position model. The record is from RNAcentral.